ACCAGCGUUUUAAAAAUCGCCGAGUCGAACCGGACUCGCCCGGUUCGACUCGGAAUUCACGAAAAAGGGACCGGAUCGGUUCAAAAACCGGGAAUCGUCCGGUUCUAGAGAGAACCGGACGAUUCCGCACAGUGACUCGCCGAUUCACUGUGCGGAAUCGGCGAGUCCGUGAAGAACACGGGUUGCACAGUGUUCUUCACGGAUUUUUUUCAAAUUUGUCAUAUUUUGAUCAUUUUUUUUGUUUUUUUCGGCACGUGAUCUGUUUUUCAGGCUGUAAACAGCUUUAUUCAGCUUUUUUAACGAUUUAAUGGUGGAAAAAUUGGUUGUUUUUUUAUCAAGAAAAAUUCGGGGUUCAGGGUUUCCGCC
This 366-nucleotide long non-coding RNA is filed under the name Amborella trichopoda. Its description in RNAcentral is "long non-coding RNA (ATRI_LNC004811)". The record is from RNAcentral. Lineage: Eukaryota; Viridiplantae; Streptophyta; Magnoliopsida; Amborellales; Amborellaceae.